AUGAGAACUAGCAUCCUCCUCCUCCUUGCCGCUCUUGGUGCCGUCUCUAUCAUCGCCACACCUACAGCGCUCGACGGGGAAUGGCAACCGAUCAAGAACGUCACCGACCCACAUGUCCAGGACCUCGGCAGUUGGGCGGUGGCGCAACACAACAAGGUGUCCAUCUCCAGGCUCAGGUCCGCCAUGGUGCUGAGCGGCGAAGUGCAGAUUGUGGCCGGCGUGGAGUACCGACUCGACGUCCAAGCAUUGCAGGGUGAUGGCAAGGACGCCAUGUAUAAGGCAGAGGUGUUCGAGCAGGGCUGGCCGACCAACACAACUCGCAAUCUCAUCUCCUUCGAAUAG
RNAcentral lists this ribosomal RNA (342 nucleotides) under Triticum aestivum (bread wheat). RNAcentral describes it as "partial small subunit ribosomal RNA". The record is from RNAcentral. Lineage: Eukaryota; Viridiplantae; Streptophyta; Magnoliopsida; Poales; Poaceae.